UACGUAGGGUGCAAGCGUUGUUCGGAGUUACUGGGCGUAAAGGGUGUGUAGGCGGUUGGUUAAGUUUGGUGUGAAAUCUCCCGGCUCAACUGGGAGGGUGCGCCGAAUACUGAAUGACUAGAGUGUGGGAGAGGUGAGUGGAAUUCCUGGUGUAGCGGUGAAAUGCGUAGAUAUCAGGAGGAACACCGGUGGUGUAGACGGCUCACUGGACCAUAACUGACGCUGAGACACGAAAGCGUGGGUAGCAAACAGG
Molecule: ribosomal RNA, 253 nt
Filed under: uncultured bacterium
Lineage: Bacteria
Description: partial 16S ribosomal RNA
Rfam family: Bacterial small subunit ribosomal RNA
Source: RNAcentral